GCGGGCCCGGGGCGCGCGCUGCUGAGGCGGGAGCUGCGGCUGCUCGAGUCCAUCUUCCACCGCGGCCACGAGCGCUUCCGCAUCGCCCGCGCCUGCCCGGACGAGCUGGGCUGCGAGUUCCUGCCCGGGCCGGCCGGGGGAGGGCCGGUCCGUAUCCAUGGCAACAUCACGGAGGCUUAUCCGGCCGUACCCCCCAUCUGGUCGGUGGAAUCCGACGACCCCAACCUGGCCGCAGUCUUGGAGAGGCUGGCCGACGUAAAGAAGGGCAACACGUUGCUCCUGCAGCACCUGAAGCGCA
Pseudonaja textilis is the source of this 298-nucleotide non-coding RNA. The record is from RefSeq and is a predicted model, not a curated record. Lineage: Eukaryota; Metazoa; Chordata; Lepidosauria; Squamata; Elapidae.